CACAGUUGACUAAAUCGAAAACGGUGAUCAUUAAAUGAAAAAAUACGAUAAAAUAAGAAAUGAUUCCGGCGUCCGAGGUAUUUUUCUGUAAUAGUUCGGAAACUAUUGUAAUUUUUAGUGCAGGAGAAGUGAUUUAUAUAAUAAUAGCCACAUACACCAUUUGAUUCUUCAAUAAUCCUGAACUUUCUGUAAAAUUAUCAUCAUUGCGAAGUACUCCAGUUAUAGGCCUUGAUUCCCUUCGAAAUCGCAAUUUUGAAAUCGAAAAAUAUACGGCAUAAAUGGAUAUAUUUUCAAGUCAAACUUAUAUCGAUCAUAUCAACUUACAAUUUUGAUUUUUUCACAGGUUAUAGGCUGUCCAGCUCGGUGUUCAAGCAACAAGGCAACUCAACCCUCCGUUCUAAUCACCUAUCAAUAUU
Plodia interpunctella (Indianmeal moth) is the source of this 416-nucleotide long non-coding RNA. RefSeq lists it as uncharacterized. Lineage: Eukaryota; Metazoa; Arthropoda; Insecta; Lepidoptera; Pyralidae. The record is from RefSeq and is a predicted model, not a curated record. The transcript is spliced from 3 exons.